CGAGAGUCAGACAGCGUGCUUCCGGGUGUUGAAGGGACAAUUAAUCUGUGAGGUUGCCUCUUUCUAAGCAAGUGACAAGUUGCUGUCAGACAAGCCCUCAAGGCGGGUUCCAGGAGUCUCUCACCUCCCACCUGUGCCUGCCAUGGAGCUCCUGAAGGCGCUGCUACUCCUGUCUGGAGUCCUCGGGGCUCUUGCUGAAUUCUGUGUAAUACCAAAGAUGGACGGCCAGCUGGUAGAGAAGCUGGGCCAGCGUCUCUUACCUUGGAUGGAUCGGCUUUCCUCAGAGCAGUUGAACCCCAGCAUCUACGUCGGCCUGCGGCUUUCCAGCAUGCAGGCUGGGACCAAGGAGAACCUCUACCUUCACAACCUCAAACUCCAUUACCAGCAGUGCCUC
RNAcentral lists this long non-coding RNA (394 nucleotides) under Rattus norvegicus (Norway rat). Its description in RNAcentral is "long non-coding RNA NONRATT010095". The record is from RNAcentral. Lineage: Eukaryota; Metazoa; Chordata; Mammalia; Rodentia; Muridae.